This is a regulatory RNA element of Porphyromonas catoniae ATCC 51270, 60 nucleotides long. Lineage: Bacteria; Pseudomonadati; Bacteroidota; Bacteroidia; Bacteroidales; Porphyromonadaceae. The record is from Rfam.
AUGCACGUGGAUAGAUUUGAGAUGAUUGCAACCACACAAAAAAAUGCUAAACCCGUCACU